This 365-nucleotide ribosomal RNA is filed under the name uncultured bacterium. Its description in RNAcentral is "bacterial SSU rRNA". It matches the Rfam family "Bacterial small subunit ribosomal RNA", at positions 444 to 793 of the family's 1533-position model. The record is from RNAcentral.
AAGGUAGUGUAGUUAAUAGCUGCAUAUUUGACGUUAGCGACAGAAGAAAGCAACCGGCUAACUACCGUGCCAGCAGCCGCGGUAAUACGGAGGGUGCGAGCGUAAUCGGAAUUACUGGCGUAAAGCGCAUGCAGGUGGUUUGUUAAGUUCAGAUGUGAAAGACCCGGGGCGUCAACCUACCGGAAUAAGCAUUUGAAACUGGACAGACUAGAGUACUGUAGAGGGGGGUAGGAAUUUCAGGUGUAGCGGUGGAAAAUGCGUAGAGAUCUGAAGGAAUACCGGUGGCGAAGGCGGCCCCCUCGGACAGAUACUGACACUCAGAUGCGAAAGCGUGGGGAGCAAACAGGAUUAGAUACCCCUGGUAG